This 923-nucleotide ribosomal RNA is filed under the name Anaerosinus sp. Jh1. RNAcentral's name for it is "bacterial SSU rRNA". It matches the Rfam family "Bacterial small subunit ribosomal RNA", at positions 9 to 916 of the family's 1533-position model. The record is from RNAcentral. Lineage: Bacteria; Bacillati; Bacillota; Negativicutes; Selenomonadales; Sporomusaceae.
GAGUUUGCUCCUGGCUCAGGACGAACGCUGGCGGCGUGCCUAACACAUGCAAGUCGAACGGAGAAUUAGCAAUAAUUCUUAGUGGCGAACGGGUGAGUAACGCGUAAAUAAUCUGCCCUUUAGCUGGGGACAACAGAUCGAAAGAUCUGCUAAUACCGAAUGUUGUUUAAGAAACGCAUGUUUCUUAAACUAAAGGUGGCCUCUGAAUAUGCUACCGCUAAAGGAUGAAUUUGCGUCUGAUUAGCUAGUUGGUGAGAUAAAAGCUCACCAAGGCAACGAUCAGUAGCCGGUCUGAGAGGAUGAACGGCCACACUGGGACUGAGACACGGCCCAGACUCCUACGGGAGGCAGCAGUGGGGAAUCUUCCGCAAUGGACGAAAGUCUGACGGAGCAACGCCGCGUGAGUGAUGAAGGUUUUCGGAUCGUAAAACUCUGUUGUUAAGGACGAAUGUAUAGAUUGUGAAUAAUGGUUUAUAAUGACGGUACUUAACGAGGAAGCCACGGCUAACUACGUGCCAGCAGCCGCGGUAAUACGUAGGUGGCAAGCGUUGUCCGGAAUUAUUGGGCGUAAAGGGAGCGCAGGUGGGAAUGUAAGUCAAUCUUAAAAGUGCGGGGCUCAACCCCGUGAUGGGAUAGAAACUACAUUUCUUGAGUGCAGGAGAGGAAAGUGGAAUUCCUAGUGUAGCGGUGAAAUGCGUAGAUAUUAGGAGGAACACCAGUGGCGAAGGCGACUUUCUGGACUGUUACUGACACUGAGGCUCGAAAGCUAGGGGAGCGAACGGGAUUAGAUACCCCGGUAGUCCUAGCCGUAAACGAUGGGUACUAGGUGUAGAGGGUAUCGACCCCUUCUGUGCCGGAGUUAACGCAAUAAGUACCCCGCCUGGGGAGUACGGCCGCAAGGUUGAAACUCAAGGAAUUGACGG